UAAUACGGAGGGUGCGAGCGUUAAUCGGAAUUACUGGGCGUAAAGGGUGCGUAGGUGGUUUAGUAAGAUAGCUGUGAAAUACCCGGGCUUAACCUGGGCAGGUCAGCUAAGACUGCAAGACUAGAGUAUAGGAGAGGGUAGUGGAAUUUCCGGUGUAGCGGUGAAAUGCGUAGAGAUCGGAAGGAACACCAGUGGCGAAGGCGGCUACCUGGCCUAAUACUGACACUGAGGCACGAAAGCGUGGGGAGCAAACAGGAUUAGAUACCCUGGUAGUCCACGCUGUAAACGAUGUCAACUAGCUGUUAGUUUCGUAAAGGAAUUAGUGGCGCAGCCAACGCGAUAAGUUGACCGCCUGGGGAGUACGGUCGCAAGAUUA
This 376-nucleotide ribosomal RNA is filed under the name uncultured bacterium. RNAcentral describes it as "bacterial SSU rRNA". It matches the Rfam family "Bacterial small subunit ribosomal RNA", at positions 521 to 896 of the family's 1533-position model. The record is from RNAcentral.